CCUACGGGUUGCAGCAGUAGGGAAUCUUCCGCAAUGGACGAAAGUCUGACGGAGCAACGCCGCGUGAGCGAUGAAGGUCUUCGGAUCGUAAAGCUCUGUUGUUAGGGAAGAAACCGUACCGAUCGAAUAGGUCGGUACCUUGACGGUACCUAACCAGAAAGCCACGGCUAACUACGUGCCAGCAGCCGCGGUAAUACGUAGGCGGCAAGCGUUGUCCGGAAUUAUUGGGCGUAAAGCGCGCGCAGGCGGUUCCUUAAGUCUGAUGUGAAAGCCCACGGCUCAACCGUGGAGGGUCAUUGGAAACUGGGGGACUUGAGUGCAGAAGAGGAGAGCGGAAUUCCACGUGUAGCGGUGAAAUGCGUAGAGAUGUGGAGGAACACCAGUGGCGAAGGCGGCUCUCUGGUCUGUAACUGACGCUGAGGCGCGAAAGCGUGGGGAGCAAGCAGGAUUAGAUACCCGCGUAGUC
RNAcentral lists this ribosomal RNA (466 nucleotides) under uncultured bacterium. Its description in RNAcentral is "bacterial SSU rRNA". It matches the Rfam family "Bacterial small subunit ribosomal RNA", at positions 338 to 795 of the family's 1533-position model. The record is from RNAcentral.